This 671-nucleotide ribosomal RNA is filed under the name uncultured forest soil bacterium. RNAcentral's name for it is "bacterial SSU rRNA". It matches the Rfam family "Bacterial small subunit ribosomal RNA", at positions 64 to 767 of the family's 1533-position model. The record is from RNAcentral.
GAACGAGAAAGUGGAGCAAUCCAUGAGUAAAGUGGCGCACGGGUGAGUAACACGUGACUAACCUACCUUUUAGUGGGGGACAACCUAGGGAAACCUGGGCUAAUACCGCAUAACACAUACGAGUCAAAGCAGCAAUGCGCUGAAAGAGGGGGUCGCGGCCGAUUAGCUAGUUGGCGGGGUAAUGGCCCACCAAGGCAGUGAUCGGUAUCCGGCCUGAGAGGGCGCACGGACACACUGGAACUGAAACACGGUCCAGACUCCUACGGGAGGCAGCAGUGGGGAAUUUUGCGCAAUGGGGGAAACCCUGACGCAGCAACGCCGCGUGGAGGAUGAAGUCCCUUGGGACGUAAACUCCUUUCGAUCGGGACGAUAAUGACGGUACCGGAAGAAGAAGCCCCGGCUAACUUCGUGCCAGCAGCCGCGGUAAUACGAGGGGGGCAAGCGUUGUUCGGAAUUAUUGGGCGUAAAGGGUGCGUAGGUGGUUCGGCAAGUCUUGUGUGAAAUCUUCAGGCUCAACUUGAAGUCUGCACAAGAAACUGCCGGGCUUGAGUAUGGGAGAGGUGAGUGGAAUUUCCGGUGUAGCGGUGAAAUGCGUAGAUAUCGGAAGGAACACCUGUGGCGAAAGCGGCUCACUGGACCAUUACUGACGCUGAGGCACGAAAGCUAGGGGA